GACGAACGCUGGCGGCGUGCCUAAUACAUGCAAGUCGAACGCUUCUUUCCUCCCGAGUGCUUGCACUCAAUUGGAAAGAGGAGUGGCGGACGGGUGAGUAACACGUGGGUAACCUACCCAUCAGAGGGGGAUAACACUUGGAAACAGGUGCUAAUACCGCAUAACAGUUUAUGCCGCAUGGCAUAAGAGUGAAAGGCGCUUUCGGGUGUCGCUGAUGGUUGGACCCGCGGUGGAUUAGCUAGUUGGCGAGGUAACGGCGCACCAAGGCCACGAUGCAUAGCCGGCCUGAGAGGGUGAUCGGCCACACUGGGACUGAGACACGGCCCAGACUCCUACGGGAGGCAGCAGUAGGGAAUCUUCGGCAAUGGGCGAAAGUCUGACCGAGCAACGCCGCGUGAGUGAAGAAGGUUUUCGGAUCGUAAAGCUCUGUUGUUAGGGAAGAACAAGGACGUUAGUAAAUGAACGUCACCUGACGGUAUCUACACAGAAAGCCACGGCUAACUACGUG
Molecule: ribosomal RNA, 508 nt
Filed under: uncultured bacterium
Lineage: Bacteria
Description: partial 16S ribosomal RNA
Rfam family: Bacterial small subunit ribosomal RNA
Source: RNAcentral